Molecule: non-coding RNA, 84 nt
Filed under: uncultured Planococcus sp.
Lineage: Bacteria; Bacillati; Bacillota; Bacilli; Caryophanales; Caryophanaceae
Description: Purine riboswitch
Rfam family: Purine riboswitch aptamer (bases 14-80)
About the family: Riboswitches are metabolite binding domains within certain messenger RNAs that serve as precision sensors for their corresponding targets. Allosteric rearrangement of mRNA structure is mediated by ligand binding, and this results in modulation of gene expression.
Source: RNAcentral
CAAAUACGAUUCACUCAUAUAAUCGCGGGGAUAUGGCCCGCAAGUUUCUACCGGUUUGCCGUAAACGAACUGACUAUGAGAAGC